RNAcentral lists this ribosomal RNA (321 nucleotides) under uncultured eukaryote. Its description in RNAcentral is "partial 18S ribosomal RNA". It matches the Rfam family "Eukaryotic small subunit ribosomal RNA", at positions 1470 to 1796 of the family's 1831-position model. The record is from RNAcentral.
CCCUUAGAUGUCCUGGGCCGCACGCGCGCUACACUGACAUGUUCAACAAGCCUCCUAGUUCGACAGGAUUUGGGAAAUCUUUGAACGCAUGUCGUGAUAGGGAUAGAUCAUUGCAAUUAUUGAUCUUGAACGAGGAAUUCCUAGUAAACGCGAGUCAUCAGCUCGCAUUGAUUACGUCCCUGCCCUUUGUACACACCGCCCGUCGCACCUACCGAUUGAAUGUUUCGGUGAAGAUUCCGGAUAGGACUUUUUUGAUUUAUUUCAAUUUUGUCUUAAAAGCUAGCUAAACCUCAACAUUUAGAGGAAGGUGAAGUCGUAACA